GACGAACGCUGGCGGCGUGCCUAAUACAUGCAAGUUGAGCGAUGAAGAUUGGUGCUUGCACCAAUUUGAAGAGCAGCGAACGGGUGAGUAACGCGUGGGGCAUCUGCCUUUGAGCGGGGGACAACAUUUGGAAACGAAUGCUAAUACCGCAUAACAACUUUAAACAUAAGUUUUAAGUUUGAAAGAUGCAAUUGCAUCACUCAAAGAUGAUCCCGCGUUGUAUUAGCUAGUUGGUGAGGUAAAGGCUCACCAAGGCGAUGAUACAUAGCCGACCUGAGAGGGUGAUCGGCCACAUUGGGACUGAGACACGGCCCAAACUCCUACGGGAGGCAGCAGUAGGGAAUCUUCGGCAAUGGACGAAAGUCUGACCGAGCAACGCCGCGUGAGUGAAGAAGGUUUUCGGAUCGUAAAACUCUGUUGGUAGAGAAGAACGUUGGUGAGAGUGGAAAGCUCAUCAAGUGACGGUAACUACCCAGAAAGGGACGGCUAACUACGUG
This 497-nucleotide ribosomal RNA is filed under the name uncultured bacterium. Its description in RNAcentral is "partial 16S ribosomal RNA". It matches the Rfam family "Bacterial small subunit ribosomal RNA", at positions 28 to 507 of the family's 1533-position model. The record is from RNAcentral.